AAACCGUUCGGGGGUAAACGGACAGAGCCCGUGAAUCCGGGCGACGGAAUUCAGAUCCGGUGACGUUCGCGCGUCGCCGGUUCGAUAUUUCCGCCGCCGCCAAUUCUACGGACGUCGCGACCCGUUCGGUGUCGGUCUGCAGGAGACGUGCGAAAGUUCGUGGUCGUCGAUCGGGUUUCGGCUCGGUCGGCGCUCGCGAGUGCGCGUUUUUUUUCUAGCCGACUCGCCGGACGGUAAGCGAAGCGGUGGUCGCGGCGGCCUUUCGUUAGCGCCGUCGCGUUACCGGUCUGCGACGAAUCUUCGGGCCUCUUUCCGA
This 316-nucleotide ribosomal RNA is filed under the name Trionymus bambusae. RNAcentral describes it as "partial 28S ribosomal RNA". Lineage: Eukaryota; Metazoa; Arthropoda; Insecta; Hemiptera; Pseudococcidae. The record is from RNAcentral.